Non-coding RNA from Aedes aegypti (yellow fever mosquito), 115 nucleotides. The record is from Rfam. NCBI's taxonomy places the organism in Eukaryota, Metazoa, Arthropoda, Insecta, Diptera, Culicidae.
UGUCCAGUAACUCCUGUCCCUACCUCCCCGUGGUGCCGUCUGGGAUACGAGUAACCAUAGGGAUGAUCGGGUUACCAACCUCGGUGGGACCUUGGUCGUAUGCUGACAGGGAAGG